RNAcentral lists this long non-coding RNA (264 nucleotides) under Lathyrus oleraceus (garden pea). RNAcentral describes it as "Pisum sativum (pea) long non-coding RNA (PSAT_LNC007616)". The record is from RNAcentral. Lineage: Eukaryota; Viridiplantae; Streptophyta; Magnoliopsida; Fabales; Fabaceae.
CACCAUUUGGAAGGAAGACUAACCGCUUCUCUCCAUUAUUUGCUAUUUGGUUGGAAGUUAGCCAGAAACUUCAGUUUUCUUAUAUAAUAGGGUUCAAUACUUCAACCUACUAAAAAAUCUUAAAAUUUUCUAAAUACUCUCAAGAACAAAUCUUGGGGAAAAGAUUAGGUCUUUUCUUUUUUACCAAAUCUCUAUAAUUCUUGGUAUUUUCUCUCUACCCCUUAACUCUUUAUUUUCUGCACUCUUAAUUUUCAUUGCUAAUUU